AGCAGCCGCGGUAAUUCCAGCUCCAAUAGCGUAUAUUAAAGUUGUUGCAGUUAAAAAGCUCGUAGUUGAAUUUCGGGGUUAGUAGGCUGGUCAUGCCUCUGGUAUGUACUGGUCUCACUGAUUCCUCCUUCCUGAUGAACCGUAAUGCCAUUAAUUUGGUGUUGCGGGGAAUUUGGACUGUUACUUUGAAAGAAUUAGAGUGUUUAAAGCAAGCUAACGCUUGAAUACAUUAGCAUGGAAUAAUGAAAUAGGACGUUCGAUCCUAUUUUGUUGGUUUCUAGGAUUGACGUAAUGAUUAAUAGGGAUAGUUGGGGGCAUUAGUAUUCAAUUGUCAGAGGUGAAAUUCUUGGAUUUAUUGAAGACUAACUACUGCGAAAGCAUUUGCCAAGGAUGUUUUCAUUAAUCAAGAACGAAAGUUAGGGGAUCGAAGACGAUCAGAUACCGUCGUAG
This 450-nucleotide ribosomal RNA is filed under the name uncultured Glomus. Its description in RNAcentral is "SSU rRNA". It matches the Rfam family "Eukaryotic small subunit ribosomal RNA", at positions 569 to 1023 of the family's 1831-position model. Lineage: Eukaryota; Fungi; Glomeromycota; Glomeromycetes; Glomerales; Glomeraceae. The record is from RNAcentral.